AUUGAACGCUGGCGGCGUGCCUAACACAUGCAAGUCGAGCGGUAACAGGUGUAGCAAUACAUGCUGACGAGCGGCGGACGGGUGAGUAACGCUUGGGAAUCUGCCUAUUAGUGGGGGACGAACCCGGGGAAACGUCGGGCGUAAUACCGCAUACGCUCUACGGAGGAAAGCCGGGGACCGGCAAGGCCUGGCGCUAAUAGAUGAGCCCAAGUCGGAUUAGCUAGUUGGUAGGGGUAAUGGCCUACCAAGGCGACGAUCCGUAACUGGUCUGAGAGGACGACCAGUCACACCGGAACUGAGACACGGUCCGGACUCCUACGGGAGGCAGCAGUGGGGAAUAUUGGACAAUGGGCGGAAAGACCUGAUCCAGCGACGCCGCGUGGGUGAAGAAGGCCUGCGGGUUGUAAA
Molecule: ribosomal RNA, 408 nt
Filed under: uncultured bacterium
Lineage: Bacteria
Description: bacterial SSU rRNA
Rfam family: Bacterial small subunit ribosomal RNA
Source: RNAcentral